This 549-nucleotide ribosomal RNA is filed under the name uncultured bacterium. RNAcentral describes it as "bacterial SSU rRNA". It matches the Rfam family "Bacterial small subunit ribosomal RNA", at positions 67 to 659 of the family's 1533-position model. The record is from RNAcentral.
CGGCCGUAGCAAUACGGCAGCGGCAGACGGGAUAGUAACACGUGGGAACGUGCCCUUUGGUUCGGAAUAACUCGGCGAAAGCCGUGCUAAUACCGGAUAAGCCCUUACGGGGAAAGAUUUAUCGCCAUUGGAGCGGCCCGCGGUCUGAUUAGCUAGUUGGUGAGGUAAUGGCUCACCAAGGCGACGAUCAGUAGCUGGUCUGAGAGGAUGAUCAGCAUCACUGGGACUGAGACACGGCCCAGACUCCUACGGGAGGCAGCAGUGGGGAAUAUUGGACAAUGGGCGCAAGCCUGAUCCAGCCAUGCCGCGUGGAUGAUGAAGGCCUUAGGGUUGUAAAGUCCUUUUAACGGGGAAGAUAAUGACGGUACCCGUAGAAUAAGCCCCGGCUAACUUCGUGCCAGCAGCCGCGGUAAUACGAAGGGGGCUAGCGUUGCUCGGAAUUACUGGGCGUAAAGCGCACGUAGGCGGCUCUUUAAGUCGGGGGUGAAAUCCUGGAGCUCAACUCCAGAACUGCCUUCGAUACUGAAGAGCUCGAGUCCGGGAGAGGUG